CCCAUCUCAUGCGUAUAGUGAAGGGAAUCAAAGCUCUGAUCAAGAUCAGUCUAGAGCACGGUCAAGCCUAACGGAGGCAACGCUGCAGUCGCUCUAGGUGGGAGCAUGAAGGCAGCUCUUCGACUAAAUCACCUGCGCAGCGCCCGAGGUUGCGCGGAGAACAGCAUCUUCAUGCGGAAAGCAACCAAAAAAAAUAUAUACCAAAAAAAUAUAUACCGUCAUAUACCAAAAAAAAUAUAUACCGUCAUUGAAUUCACGGCAGCGUUGCGCAAGCGUCAGUCAGCCCGUUGAGGAGGGGAGAAGUGGCAUUGAUUAAGGAACUCAACUCCACGCUUCGUUUUCUGUUGCAUACGAGCCAUGCGUUCCAGAAGCAUACGGGUAAAACUUGCUCCAGAAAGGAAUGCCAGAGAAGAUUUUCCAUUAGCAACUUGCAAGGAGAUACGGCCACACCAACGGUGGUAUGAGGGGAGAUAUGAAUUAGUCCGGUCGCCUCGUGUCCGGCAACUAAACCAUCACACCAAAUCGUUGGUUGAAGAGCUCUUCCCGGGCACUAAUGGAAACGGCCACGAUAAAAACUAUACAAACGGCGAUAAAAUUGCCCGUAGACCAUGUUGGUGGAGCUACGGUAGUAAGCAGCAGGGACAGGCAGAGGGACUGCACAAUGCAAUGCCAACUCUACUUCCCGCUUCGGGACCUUCAUAUCAAUAAUGGGACAACACUGCAGGUCAUCCAGAGAAGUUUCGUCGAUAACACGAAGGACGCCGCGCACGUUGCCCCUGUGGUUUACGGCCAACUACCAUAGAGGUUUGGUGAGCUUCAGGAGAAUUUACGGACAGCCUGGUUUAGUUCAAUAACGAGGCAGCAACUGCAGCAAAAGUCGAAGGCAAGAGAGGGUAGCGUAAUGAAUGACAGCCCAGUGGGCACAGCAGGUGAAAGCCAUUGAGGGCGGCACGUUCUCUGUUUGCAGGAAGUGCAAUGACUUAAAGGAUGCGUAAAGAGAACCACCAGUUAUUCUGUCGGUUCGAUAGGACACUUCUGCCACAAAGGAGCAUUUUCAAACACUACCUACAACUAUAUUAUAUCAAACAAGCUAAAUAGGCUCAAUAUAUUUCCCACACCGUCAUUUAUUCGAGGCCCUCAAGAACACCUCCAAAACAGCACCUGACUAGCUGAGGUCCAAUUACCUCCCCAAAAUAAUCGGUGUUGCAUGCAGGACAUAAUUCGUUCUCCUUCUAGAUAAUCACAAUUUUAUUGAUUGAGUUCGAACGGCAAUUUUAGCCAAUUUUGGCAUCAAUGAAUAUCGGGCAAGCGUAUUGAUACCGGUGGAGCAGUGACGUAUUCGUCCUCAGUAUUCAAAUCCAAGACUCCGGUAUUUAAGUGUUUUAGCGACGGGGUGGAACUGCAGGGCCCCUAACUAACCCGCAAGUUGUGUCUUUCUCAAGAUCUUCCAAUUCGUCCUCUAGUCUCGCGUAAGCUUCUGUCGUGAGUCUUGGGAUGCGUAGUGGUCUGUUGCUCGUUAUCGGCAGAUUGCGCGUUGAAGCCCCGCUGCAGGCGUCUGCUCUAUGCCUUGCAAUAGUGUGGCAAACGAUGUCCCGUCCAGGCAUGCGGCUGGGCCCUCUCUGGGCCCGCUAUAGCUGAUUCAGUUGUUAUCGUGCUGAUUCUGCACUUGGAAUCAAGCUCCGGACCUCCUGCCCUUCAUUCGGCUGUCCCAAACACCCACCUUUGUUAGCGUGGGCUUGGUAGAGGGCUCUCUGACCCUCGCCUACUGUGCCCAUGUGCAGGGACGCUAUGGUGUUGAGGAAGGAGUGUUCCUGCUGUUGGUACUGCCCAAGCGGGCUCUGUCAGUCACGGAAACUUAGGAGAAGGCUUGCUAGGCUGUCAUUUGUCUUCGCAAGCCUCUCUUCUGCAGUCAGAAAUCCAACGCGCCAUCCAUUGCGCCACAAGGGCUUCUACGUAGCCAAAUGCCUCGUCAUCUAGUUUGUGACGUGCAUGAAUGGAUUAACGAGAUUCCCACUGUCCCUAUCUACUAUCUAGCGAAACCACAGCCAAGGGAACGGGCUUGGCGGAUUCAGAGGGAAACGAAGACCCUGUUGAGCUUGAUUCUAGUCCGAGUUUGUGGAACGAUUUGGGAGUGUAGCAUAGGUGGGAGCUUCGGUGAUCGUGAAAUACCACUACCUUCAGUAUCGUUUUACUUAUUCCGUUAGUUUGCGACGCAUGCUCGGCAUGUGUUUUAGUCUUAAGGUGCCUUUUUGGCGCUGAUCAAUGCGGAACACACAGUCAGGUGGGGAGUUUGGGUUGGGCGGCAUAUCUGUGAAACAAUAGCGCAGGUGUCCUAAGGCAAGCUCAAUGAGAACAGAAAUCUCAUGUUGACCAAAAUGGGAAAACCGUGCUUGAUUUUGUUGUCCAGUACGAAUACAAACUGUGAAAGCAUGACCUAUCGAUCCUUUAGGUCUGAGAAACUUUCAGCUAGAGGUGUCAGAAAAGUUACCACAGGGAUAACUGGCUGGUGGCAGCCAAGCGUUCAUAGCGACGUUGCUUUUUGAUCCUUCGAUGUCGGCUCUUCCUAUUAAUGAGAUGCAGAAGUCUCAAAGAGUCGGAUUGUUCACCCGCCAAUAGGAAACGUGAGCUGGGUUUAGACCGUCGUGGGACAGGUUAGUUUUACCCUACUGGUAAAUUUAAUACUGCGACAGUAAUCCAACUUAGUAGGAGAGGAACAGUACUUGGUUAAUGAGGUUAGCUGAAAAGCUAGUGCCGCGACGCUACCAUCUGGUGGAUUAUGACUGUACGCCUCUACUUCAGAACUCACGCUGGCUAAGCACUGCAUAUAAUCGCCUCAUUUGUUACUUACAUAUGUUUUUAGUGUCUUUUGAGCACACAAUCUCAUCAAGGCCCUUUGCGUCACGCGCUGGGCUAUAAUAUCAAUUUCCCACAAUUGAGGCGCUACAUCGAUUGCAGAUGACUUUGCCAGGUAUUGUAGGUGUGAGAGUAGGCUUGUCCUACGAUCGACAAAGAUUCAGCCUUCGUU
RNAcentral lists this ribosomal RNA (3025 nucleotides) under Eimeria maxima. Its description in RNAcentral is "eukaryotic LSU rRNA". The stretch from base 1780 to 3025 matches the Rfam family "Eukaryotic large subunit ribosomal RNA", at positions 1890 to 3391 of the family's 3401-position model. The record is from RNAcentral. Lineage: Eukaryota; Apicomplexa; Conoidasida; Eucoccidiorida; Eimeriidae.